GUGGGGCAGGGCAGAGCAGACCGGAAGGCGCUCCGUGACCCGUUCGACACUUGGUACAUCGGCCGCAACUGUAUCGCCCGCAUCGCCACGGUCUCAGUCCUUCAGGUUUCCUGGGGUUAUCGCGUUGUUUGAUGGGUCGUUUGAUGACUCCGCCAUUGGAUUGGGAGGAAAGAAGAGAAUUAAUGUUUAGUAAGCACUUGCUGAAAUCCUUCAUCAGCCAGGCUGAGCUUGAUCCUAUUGGGAUAUUUUGAAAUUUACAUCACGUGGACCUUGGUAGGAGUGAUGAAAGAUGGGCAAUUUCGGCCACAGCCAGAUAUCCCUAGGGAACCAUUCUCAGCUCCGAAUGGCUCUCCUCACUUAAUCACAAGUUAAGCCUCUGACUUAGAGAAAGUGAGGUAAGUUCCUAAGGUACCAGGCAGAGAAUCUAGGGGGAGCAGUCCUGGGAGAGAUGGGGUUACUAAGGACAUCACCACUGGAAGCACUGAGUUCCAAACUUAGGCUGUUGGUUUCCCUAUGAGUCACUGGGUAAAUGCCCUCAUAGGCUGUCCAUUCCAGUGAGACACUUGGCAGGGUCCAGGCACCUGAUAGAUUUGAAAGCAGGCUGGGACUUCCCUGGUGGUCCAGUGGUAAAGAAUCCGCCUUCAAAUGCAGGGGAUGCGGGUUCGACCCCUGGUCGCGGAACUAAGAUCCCACAUGCCGGGGGCAACUAAGCCCGUGCGCUGCAACUACUGAGCUCGCGUGCCUCAACGAGAGAGCCCCCAAGCUGCAAUGAAAGAUCCCGCAUGCCUCAACGAAGACCCCGCGUGCCGCAACUAAGACUCAACACAGCCAAAAAUAAAUAAAUAAAAUGAAUAAAUAUGAAAGCAGGCAUCCUGCGCUGAUGUUGCCACACAGGUGUGCCAAAGGAAAUAAAAAAUAGAAAAAGUGUUGACAAUCACAUCAGGUUAUCACUCACUUUCCUUACAGAGCUUUCCCUUGGGAGAGCCCCUAACAUAAUAAUUAUUAGGAAUUAUCGAAUGUCAGCAUAUUUUUAAUGAGCAUUUAACCCAUCCAAUGUACUCUCCCAGAUAUGGUAGGACCCAGGGAUACUAUGCUGGACAUGCCCCCUGACAUCAUGCAAGGUAUCAGGGAGACCUUUUUCUUUUUAUAAUGAUUUAAACUCCACCUCAUCCCCAGGUGACCACAGAUCUGCUUUCUAUCACUGUAAGUGAGUUUUCAUUUUCUAAAAGUUCAUAUAAAUAGAAUCACAUGGUAUGUACUCUCUCUUCUCUGGUUUCUUUCACUCAGAAUAAUUAUUUUGACAUUUAUCCAUAUAGUUGUGUGUAUCACUAAUAGUUCAUUCCUUUUUUAUUGCUGAGUAAUGUUCCAUUAUAUGAAUCCAUCACAAUUUGUUUAUUCAUUGACCUGUUAAUGGACAUUUGGGUUGUUUCCAGGUUUUAACUAUUACAAAUAAAGCUGCUUUGAACACGCA
Long non-coding RNA from Orcinus orca (killer whale), 1471 nucleotides. RefSeq lists it as uncharacterized. The transcript is spliced from 2 exons. The record is from RefSeq and is a predicted model, not a curated record. Lineage: Eukaryota; Metazoa; Chordata; Mammalia; Artiodactyla; Delphinidae.